CAAUUCAAGAUGACUAGUUAGGAGCACUCAUAUCUCAGCACUCAGCUUGCUCCCCUCUACUGCAUCUGGAGGUCAUCUCAACAAUCAUGAAUUCCAAAAAUAAAAUUGGGAGUUCUUUGUGCUUGCCAGUUUUAAAUGUGGGAGUUUCACAUUUUCAGGUUCUUUCCCUGCAACUUUGAAGAGGCUUGAAACAGACUCCUUAGGAAGAAAACGCUCCGUGCCUCCUUCCCCACCCCUGCCUGAACAGUGGAGACCGCCGCUUGAUCUGCUGAGUCCAAAGCAUCAGCUAGUCUGAGGUGUGAGAAAAUUAUGUAAAGUACCUCUCCUGGUGGAUGUCCAACAAAAGGAAAUAGCCCUGUUUUACUCAGAGAAUGUGGAAAGGUCUGAGACACAGUUUUAAAAAUCUCUUGAUGGAACGUACAUGCCUCUCCCUAAAGUGCUUCUUGUGCUGCACCUUCUUUGGAAACAACAUAGAGUGAAGAACUUAAGGACAGAUGGAAAGCAUCUGGAAGUAAAAUUUUAGCUAUAUGAAGGAAUUCUUUAUUGGAAGAAAGCUGGAGAAAGCCCAUACCUUCUGCAGUAUUUUCCCCAGCUACUCUCUUGCCACACUAAUUUCUACCUGUAAUGGAUAUCUCAGAUGUGAUGCAGAGCAGAAACAAACUGAUCCUGAGGCCAAACAUGUGGUAUGGAUUGUGGUUACAAAGAUCAGUGAUGAAGCCAGCACCCUCCAAUUACUCCAGUGG
This is a long non-coding RNA of Aptenodytes forsteri (emperor penguin), 743 nucleotides long. RefSeq lists it as uncharacterized. The record is from RefSeq and is a predicted model, not a curated record. The transcript is spliced from 4 exons. NCBI's taxonomy places the organism in Eukaryota, Metazoa, Chordata, Aves, Sphenisciformes, Spheniscidae.